AAUGAGACGUAAAGAUCUCCGGGACUU
Molecule: transfer RNA, 27 nt
Filed under: Elgaria multicarinata
Lineage: Eukaryota; Metazoa; Chordata; Lepidosauria; Squamata; Anguidae
Description: partial tRNA-Cys
Source: RNAcentral